Molecule: ribosomal RNA, 497 nt
Filed under: uncultured bacterium
Lineage: Bacteria
Description: partial 16S ribosomal RNA
Rfam family: Bacterial small subunit ribosomal RNA
Source: RNAcentral
GAUGAACGCUGGCGGCGUGCCUAAUACAUGCAAGUCGAGCGAACAGAUGAGGAGCUUGCGCCGCGGACGUUAGCGGCGGACGGGAGAGUAACACGAGGAUAACCUACCUAUAAGAGGGGGAUAACUUCGGGAAACCGGAGCUAACACCGGAGAAGAUAUUGAACCGCAGGGUGCAAUAGUGAAAGACGGUGGUGGGGGCAGGUAUAGAUGGAUCUGCGCCGCUUUAGCUAGUUGGUAAGGUAACGGCUUACAAAGGCAACUAUGCGUAGCCGAACUGAGGGGGUGAUCGGCCACCCUGGAACUGAGCCGCGGUCCAGGCUCCUACGGUACGCAGCAGUAGGGAAUCUGCCGCAGUGGUGGAGAGCCUGGCGGAGUGACGCCACGUGAGUGAUAACAGUCUUCCGUUCGUGAAACUCUCUUAUUGGGGAAGAACAAAUUUGUCAGUAACUGUGCACGUCUUGACGGUACCUGAUAAGAAAGCCACGGCUAACUACGUG